UCUCCGUUGGUGAACCAGCGGAGGGAUCAUUACCGAGUUUACAACUCCCAAACCCCUAUGUGAACGUUACCAAACUGUUGCCUCGGCGGGAAAUUCAUGCCCCGGGCGCGUCGCAGUCCCGGACCAAGGCGCCCGCCGGAGGACCAACCAAAACUCUUUUGUAUGUCCCUCGCGGACUUUUUUAAUUCUGAACCAUCUCGGCGCCCCUAGCGGGCGUUUCGAAAAUGAAUCAAAACUUUCAACAACGGAUCUCUUGGUUCUG
Molecule: unclassified non-coding RNA, 262 nt
Filed under: plant metagenome
Description: partial contains small subunit ribosomal RNA, internal transcribed spacer 1, and 5.8S ribosomal RNA
Source: RNAcentral